UGAGGAAUAUUGGACAAUGGGCGCAAGCCUGACCCAGCAACGCCGCGUGAAGGAUGAAGUAUUUCGGUAUGUAAACUUCGAAAGAAUAGGAAGAAUAAAUGACGGUACUAUUUAUAAGGUCCGGCUAACUACGUGCCAGCAGCCGCGGUAAUACGUAGGGACCAAGCGUUGUUCGGAUUUACUGGGCGUAAAGGGCGCGUAGGCGGCUUUGUAAGUCACUUGUGAAAUCUCCGGGCUUAACUCGGAACGGCCAAGUGAUACUGCAAAGCUAGAGUGCAGAAGGGGCAAUCGGAAUUCUUGGUGUAGCGGUGAAAUGCGUAGAUAUCAAGAGGAACACCUGAGGUGAAGACGGGUUGCUGGGCUGACACUGACGCUGAGGCGCGAAAGCCAGGGGGAGCAAACGGGGAUUAGAUACCCACGUAGUCCCUGAGCGGGCUGGCAAGGCGCAU
RNAcentral lists this ribosomal RNA (449 nucleotides) under uncultured bacterium. RNAcentral's name for it is "bacterial SSU rRNA". It matches the Rfam family "Bacterial small subunit ribosomal RNA", at positions 355 to 825 of the family's 1533-position model. The record is from RNAcentral.